Molecule: transfer RNA, 70 nt
Filed under: Cricetulus griseus (Chinese hamster)
Lineage: Eukaryota; Metazoa; Chordata; Mammalia; Rodentia; Cricetidae
Rfam family: tRNA
About the family: Transfer RNA (tRNA) molecules are approximately 80 nucleotides in length.
Source: Rfam by way of RNAcentral
AGGGCUAUAGCUCAAUGGUAUAGCACUUGUCUGGCAUGCAGGAUGUCCUAGGUUCAAUGCCCAGUACCUA